Long non-coding RNA from Magnolia sinica, 543 nucleotides. RefSeq lists it as uncharacterized. The transcript has 3 exons. The record is from RefSeq and is a predicted model, not a curated record. NCBI's taxonomy places the organism in Eukaryota, Viridiplantae, Streptophyta, Magnoliopsida, Magnoliales, Magnoliaceae.
UCUUCUUUUUUUCCGCUUUCGUGAGGCAGAUUUCCAGAUCUUGCAGACCUUGAACAUGUUAGCUUACUUGAAUUUCACUGUUUUGUUCUUUACAUAGUUUCCUGUGGCUCCACAUAUCCAGGUCUCAUCUUUUUGUGCAGGGCAAGAAUCUGAUAUUUUCUUUUCUUUUUGUGCAGGGUGAGAAUCUGAUAUUUUCUGUUUUUACUCUGUAUAGGGGAGUAACUGUUGAUCUACUAAUGGCUGGAUAGAUAAAUGUUGGAGUAUCUUGGAUUCAUCAGCUGAGUAUUAUUGCCUGGAUGACUUAUGGAAGCAAGAGUUAAGAGUUUCAUUUGAUUUGACAGAGUAUUUGGAACAGCAUCCAGAAGCAUCUAACUGGGGGAUUGGGAUCUCUAGUUUUAGAAAAAAUGCCUUGUUUCAAGAUUACCAUGGACUCCAAACUUUCAGGUAGUUGUUUGUACAAUUCAGGAUCCGACUCUCAUAUGAAUAGUUCAGUGCAUUCCUAACCAACAUCAAGGAGCUCAAUGCUCAUCAAGAAACUAGGAU